UGAAGCUUUCUGGCCAUCUGAACCCUUCUGGAUUUCUGAUCAGUGGCAGUGUUGAAAGAGAAAGGCUCUAGGGGACAAUGGACGUGACAGCCAAGCAGAGGCCUGGAAACCACACGGGAGAGAAAGGCCAGACCCAGCCUCUGAGUGUGUUUUCCUUUCGGGAGAUGCUGCAGGAGUGAGCAGGAAUGACUUGCGAUUCAGCCAAAGUGAUGGGCUGGGUCAGCAAAGACGACCAUGAAACCAGGACCUGGGUGCAAAACAACGCUUUCUCCGGUA
Molecule: long non-coding RNA, 276 nt
Organism: Lontra canadensis (Northern American river otter)
Lineage: Eukaryota; Metazoa; Chordata; Mammalia; Carnivora; Mustelidae
Exons: 3
Source: RefSeq, a predicted model, not a curated record